This 574-nucleotide ribosomal RNA is filed under the name Salmonella enterica subsp. enterica serovar Infantis. RNAcentral describes it as "bacterial SSU rRNA". It matches the Rfam family "Bacterial small subunit ribosomal RNA", at positions 1 to 566 of the family's 1533-position model. Lineage: Bacteria; Pseudomonadati; Pseudomonadota; Gammaproteobacteria; Enterobacterales; Enterobacteriaceae. The record is from RNAcentral.
AAAUUGAAGAGUUUGAUCAUGGCUCAGAUUGAACGCUGGCGGCAGGCCUAACACAUGCAAGUCGAACGGUAGCACAGAGAGCUUGCUCUCGGGUGACGAGUGGCGGACGGGUGAGUAAUGUCUGGGAAACUGCCUGAUGGAGGGGGAUAACUACUGGAAACGGUGGCUAAUACCGCAUAACGUCGCAAGACCAAAGAGGGGGACCUUCGGGCCUCUUGCCAUCAGAUGUGCCCAGAUGGGAUUAGCUUGUUGGUGAGGUAACGGCUCACCAAGGCGACGAUCCCUAGCUGGUCUGAGAGGAUGACCAGCCACACUGGAACUGAGACACGGUCCAGACUCCUACGGGAGGCAGCAGUGGGGAAUAUUGCACAAUGGGCGCAAGCCUGAUGCAGCCAUGCCGCGUGUAUGAAGAAGGCCUUCGGGUUGUAAAGUACUUUCAGCGGGGAGGAAGGUGUUGUGGUUAAUAACCGCAGCAAUUGACGUUACCCGCAGAAGAAGCACCGGCUAACUCCGUGCCAGCAGCCGCGGUAAUACGGAGGGUGCAAGCGUUAAUCGGAAUUACUGGGCGUAAAGC